UUUUCAAAGCUCCCUUUCAAUUUGAGAGAUCGACGCCAUUCAGUCUGUAUGCCUGUUAACUGCGCAUGCCGUACUAUCAAGGUGAACGCAAAACCACGGAAGGAAGCCCGCUCUUCCGGUAGCUCGGAUGCAGAUUCACGACGGUGGGUUUGCUGGUGCGAAUUUGUAUUGUCCUGGUGUCUCUGGACAAAUUGCGGCCCGCAAAUUGAAAGCCGAGCUCCUACCUCCUGCGAGGAAUACUAAACAUUCUGCUCGUCCACGUUUAUACCCACCUACAAACCUAUCUACAUCAACGUACUACAGUGUCUUGUACCUCUUACCCAUGUACACUACGACAAUGGACAUGCGUGUACGCCCUAAAACAGAAGAAACGUCAACCGGCAUGAAUCAAGGGAUACGUUAUUAUCUCAUCGACCGAUAAGUCACACUUUGCCUUUGCGUCUACGUGCUGACGUAUUCGACGAGCGCAAGUUUCAUCGAGGACCAAGUACUGCGCCUCCAGGCGUCCAACAUGUUUAAUGUUAUACUCAGGAUAAGAAAGCAACUCGACACUCCAGAUAAAACAAUGUCUAAAUUGUUUGAAUGAAUACUGUCAUGGGAUACUGACACAAUGAAUAUACACCCUGAAAACAUCAAAAUGCAGCACUACCGUACCGUGGGAAAAGGUUGUACUAUGGCUUUGUUCGUUGUGCAGUACCUUGAAAGUGAGGAUAACCGGCAUUGUCAUUUGGAUUAAUCUCCGGACGCCAAUCUGUCGCGGAUACGGAGAACAGCUCAAGAAACACGUAGACCCAGCGAUGAGGUACAGAAGCUGAAUCAUCAGGGAGAUGGGACAAGAGCAUCGCGAAACAGUAUAGCCACAAGGAUAUCCUCAGGAAGACAGCUGCCCGCCUAUCCGUUAUGAAGGAAUUGUCACAGGGAUCGAAAUUACCCGUAACGAAUAUUUGCGUAAUCCAAACCACCGAUAGAUUGUGGAUUCUGUAUCCUAUCUGCGGAUCACUCAUGGAUUUUAAGAGUAGAUGUGUUCAGCUAUGGAAAAUUUAAAUUUUGUGAAUACUAUAUACAGAUUAGAUACUCCUUUUAUUGGUCAACUGUAUAAUAAGGGCUAAUGAAGGUUUAUAAUUAUUUUAAAAAAAUUUUAUAUAAGCUUCGAGUGCUCUUAAAAAUGCCAGUGACGUCAUCGACGAGAUAAAAGGGUCCAGUGCAAAAAAACAAUUUCAAAAAUAGCAACAGUCCUUGCAGAGUCACACGUGCGCGCCAGUAACUCGGCAAUGUCAAAAAGUGCAUUCAGGUUCGUUUGAUCCCUGAGCUUACGGUAACGGGGGGAAUGUUAAAAGCUCGUGCAGCCUGUCACGCUGCGAUACUAGGUUUAGCAAGCACACAAUACGAUGGCGAUUCGCGAUGGCCCCUCCAGUGAAGGUAACCAAAAGCCAUUAGCUUGAAACUAUUAGGUGGAAUAAAAAGUUAUAAAAAUCCGUGACGUAUUAUGGAAAUGGAUACUGUAGAGACUGACUAUACGUAGGCGGAGAAAGAGAACGAGACUCAAGGUUCGUACGUGCACCGAGUGUGCUCGGUUAUGCAUUUUAAGCCGAACCACUCAAUUAACCCAGGGCUAUCUUUGCCAUUUGCAUUUCAAUAUGGCUGCGAGCCAAACUUCACCGAAGAUGGAGUUCAAUGAAAAUUUCAGGUACUCCGUUUCUUUUCAUGGCAGGAACGUUCAGAGAGACUGAAGACCGGAGAGAGUCCAGAGAGAAAGAGAGACAGUAUGUACUCCUCGAAUCGAUGCUGAAGCUUGUUUGGAGAACUAGCGCGUAUCUCCGGACGAAUGCGCAGAUCCCACUUUCAGGACGUCUCCUAAUAUCUUUUCGAUUGAAAGGAUUCUCAAUUACGUAUA
Molecule: long non-coding RNA, 1894 nt
Organism: Cephus cinctus (wheat stem sawfly)
Lineage: Eukaryota; Metazoa; Arthropoda; Insecta; Hymenoptera; Cephidae
Exons: 3
Source: RefSeq, a predicted model, not a curated record